AAAAAAGGCAAGACCCCAUCUCAAAAAAAGAUAAAUAAUACACUUGACCCUAUAAAAUAACCUUAGCAUCAUGUUGUUUUAGGUCACCAUAGAUGUUAACAGUGGCUGUCUUUGGAUUCCAGAAUUAUAGAUCUCUAUGUGAAGACUUCGAAGAAUGUUAAUGAUAUAUUGCUAAUUUAAAGAAAAUGCAAAUUGCAGACCCCAAAAUGCAAUGCAUGAUCCUAUUUGUGUGAAAAAAAGAGUAUGUGUCUAUAAUCACAUCCUUAAACAUAUCUAUUUACACAAAAGCAAAACUUUGGGAAGGAUCAAACUGUUAAUAGUGGUUACUUCUGGGAAUGAAAGCUGCCGGUGAAGGUCUACAGAAUGAUUUUUUUAUUAUUAUUCUCUAUAAAUUUAAAAAGUGAUAGUAAGAAGAGGUUUUAAAAAGUGUUAAAAAUAUUUCUAAAUUAAUAAAGUUACUCUCCCUGUCAUGGGAAAGUGCUGGCUGGCAUCCCC
This 495-nucleotide long non-coding RNA is filed under the name Homo sapiens (human). RNAcentral describes it as "HSALNT0249805". Lineage: Eukaryota; Metazoa; Chordata; Mammalia; Primates; Hominidae. The record is from RNAcentral.